Molecule: transfer RNA, 70 nt
Filed under: Marmota monax (woodchuck)
Lineage: Eukaryota; Metazoa; Chordata; Mammalia; Rodentia; Sciuridae
Rfam family: tRNA
About the family: Transfer RNA (tRNA) molecules are approximately 80 nucleotides in length. Their secondary structure includes four short double-helical elements and three loops (D, anti-codon, and T loops). Further hydrogen bonds mediate the characteristic L-shaped molecular structure. tRNAs have two regions of fundamental functional importance: the anti-codon, which is responsible for specific mRNA codon recognition, and the 3' end, to which the tRNAs corresponding amino acid is attached (by aminoacyl-tRNA synthetases). tRNAs cope with the degeneracy of the genetic code in two manners: having more than one tRNA (with a specific anti-codon) for a particular amino acid; and 'wobble' base-pairing, i.e. permitting non-standard base-pairing at the 3rd anti-codon position.
Source: Rfam by way of RNAcentral
GGGGUUGUGGCUCAGUGGUAGAGUGCAUGCCUAGCAGGCAUGAAGCACAGGGUUCUGAUCCUCAGCACCA